This 466-nucleotide ribosomal RNA is filed under the name Vreelandella stevensii. Its description in RNAcentral is "partial 16S ribosomal RNA". It matches the Rfam family "Bacterial small subunit ribosomal RNA", at positions 338 to 795 of the family's 1533-position model. Lineage: Bacteria; Pseudomonadati; Pseudomonadota; Gammaproteobacteria; Oceanospirillales; Halomonadaceae. The record is from RNAcentral.
CCUACGGGAGGCAGCAGUGGGGAAUAUUGGACAAUGGGCGAAAGCCUGAUCCAGCCAUGCCGCGUGUGUGAAGAAGGCCUUCGGGUUGUAAAGCACUUUCAGUGGGGAAGAAAGCCUUGGGGCUAAUACCCUCGAGGAAGGACAUCACCCACAGAAGAAGCACCGGCUAACUCCGUGCCAGCGAGCCGCGGUAAUACGGAGGGUGCGAGCGUUAAUCGGAAUUACUGGGCGUAAAGCGCGCGUAGGCGGUCUGAUAAGCCGGUUGUGAAAGCCCCGGGCUCAACCUGGGAACGGCAUCCGGAACUGUCAGGCUAGAGUGCAGGAGAGGAAGGUAGAAUUCCCGGUGUAGCGGUGAAAUGCGUAGAGAUCGGGAGGAAUACCAGUGGCGAAGGCGGCCUUCUGGACUGACACUGACGCUGAGGUGCGAAAGCGUGGGUAGCAAACAGGAUUAGAUACCCUUGUAGUC